This 1401-nucleotide long non-coding RNA is filed under the name Xyrichtys novacula (pearly razorfish). Lineage: Eukaryota; Metazoa; Chordata; Actinopteri; Labriformes; Labridae. The record is from RNAcentral.
GGGCUCUAUUUUGGUGCCUCGCCGGAGACGUGCCGCAAGCGCAGCGUCAGUCAGAUCCGCCGCGCUGACAAGGCGUUCCCAAGCACAUUUUGGUAUUUUGGUGAGCCGCGCAGCCCAGCGUAAGUAUCCCCCCUCCCUAACUCAGCUCCUCCCAGCACCAUAAGUCGUAGACGGGGCGUGUAGUUGGUUUAACACAGCCGAGACCUGUUUUCACCAAUCACAUAAGCUCCUCUCCUUGCCUUUAAAUCCGCCACAGGCGUAUUACUAUUUUCAUGGAGUAGUCAAAGAGAUCAAGAGAUGUCUUAAGACAGUAAUGCCACAAGAUGGCGACAGAGGGCAGCUCCUCAACAAGUGUCCUCCACACUCUCUCAUAUGAGCACAGAUGGAUUUAGUGCGCGUAAUGUUGGACCCACUGGUAAGACAAACACCCUUUUCCACAAAUAAAGACACUCACAUAAAGUUGCUCAUAUUCAAACCUCACGUGACAAAGGUGGGUUGAGCGCACAGAUCACAACAUAAACUCCAAAAAUGGCAUUAAAAUCGGAACCAUCUGUGCGUAAAUGACCCAUCGCGCUCCGUGGCCUGGCUCUUUCUUUCAUAGAUGUUGGCAUAUAAAUAAAUUUGGCUCACAAAACUGAAUAUUAUAAUAUCCGUAUGUCGGCUUAAAGUAGAUAACGCAUCUGAGCACUGAAACAAAUCAUCUGUUCAGCUGCAGCAGCAGCAAGACGGACAGAGGACACGGAGACGUGUCCAGGUCGAGCUGUGCGAGAAAUAAGAGGAAGAGGAAGAAAGAAAAGGAGGGAGACACAUUACAUAUCUUGUUAACUUCAUCAUGUGUGUAUAUUUACUAGAUAUUUAAUUUAAUUUGAUGCGGUUUCAGCUGUGUUGAUUCGGUCAGGUUGUGUGUCCAAACGCGUGCCAAACGCGCUCAUCAGAUCAGAUAUAGAUCAGAAUAUAUCUAUAUAGAUCUAAAUGUAUGUGCUGACUCAGAUUAAUAGUUGAUGAUGAUUAUUUAUUGCACUGAAAUGUGCCUGACACUGUGGAAACCUGCCGGUGAGGCAUCAGUGACGUAUGUCGAUACGCCGCCGGUCUACCAAAAUACUACAAGACCAGCUGCGUUCCGCCUUGCGCUGAAAGCUGACCAGGUUUGAAUCGGCGAGCUUUCAGCGCACUUUACACGCCGUUGGCGAGCACGAAAAUGUCACUGCGCCAGCUGAUUCUGUCGAAACCUCCCCCUGCCACGCCACCACGCCCAGCUUGGCGGAUCUCGGCUCGCCUCCGUGCGGCUCAUGCCACGAAAAUACCAAACCGGCCUUACGCUGGGCUCCGCCAGACGAAAAUACAACUGCGCGGGGCUCGCCGCCCUCCGCCGCCUCACCGGCGCGCACGAAAAUAGAGCCC